Molecule: ribosomal RNA, 446 nt
Filed under: uncultured bacterium
Lineage: Bacteria
Description: partial 16S ribosomal RNA
Rfam family: Bacterial small subunit ribosomal RNA
Source: RNAcentral
CCUACGGGGGGUAGCAGUCGAGAAUCAUUCACAAUGGGGGAAACCCUGAUGGUGCGACGCCGCGUGGGGGAAUGAAGGUCUUCGGAUUGUAAACCCCUGUCAUGUGGGAGCAAAUUAAAAAGAUAGUACCACAAGAGGAAGAGACGGCUAACUCUGUGCCAGCAGCCGCGGUAAUACAGAGGUCUCAAGCGUUGUUCGGAAUCACUGGGCGUAAAGCGUGCGUAGGCUGUUUCGUAAGUCGUGUGUGAAAGGCGCGGGCUCAACCCGCGGACGGCACAUGAUACUGCGAGACUAGAGUAAGGGAGGGGGAACCGGAAUGCUCGGUGUAGCAGUGAAAUGCGUAGAUAUCGAGAGGAACACUCGUGGCGAAGGCGGGUUCCUGGACAUUAACUGACGCUGAGGCACGAAGGCCAGGGGAGCGAAAGGGAUUAGAUACCCUUGUAGUC